AUUGAACGCUGGCGGCAUGCUUUACACAUGCAAGUCGAACGGUAACAGGUUAAGCUGACGAGUGGCGAACGGGUGAGUAAUGCAUCGGAACGUGCCCGGUCGUGGGGGAUAACGCAGCGAAAGCUGCGCUAAUACCGCAUACGAUCUAAGGAUGAAAGCGGGGGACCGUAAGGCCUCGCGCGAUCGGAGCGGCCGAUGUCAGAUUAGGCAGUUGGUGGGGUAAAGGCUCACCAAGCCAAAGAUCUGUAGCUGGUCUGAGAGGACGACCAGCCACACUGGGACUGAGACACGGCCCAGACUCCUACGGGAGGCAGCAGUGGGGAAUUUUGGACAAUGGGCGAAAGCCUGAUCCAGCAAUGCCGCGUGCAGGAAGAAGGCCUUCGGGUUGUAAACUGCUUUUGUACGGAGCGUAAAGGUCUCCUCUAAUACAGGGGGCUCAUGACGGUACCGUAAGAAUAAGCACCGGCUAACUACGUGCCAGCCGCCGCCGUAA
This 493-nucleotide ribosomal RNA is filed under the name uncultured bacterium. Its description in RNAcentral is "partial 16S ribosomal RNA". It matches the Rfam family "Bacterial small subunit ribosomal RNA", at positions 30 to 523 of the family's 1533-position model. The record is from RNAcentral.